GAUUUAAAUCAUACAAUGUCAGCCCCUUCAGCACAUAUUAUCGCCUCUCCUGCAACAGCAUCUCCGCGUUCACCACCAACUCCAAUUACGAGUUUUUUGAUGGAUCUUCAGAGGUGGAAUUGAGUUUACCGCUUGGAAGCCAAGAUUUUCAGAGUUCCAGAGAUAUAUUUGUGGAUGCAGAUGGUACCUCCUUAAUUGUCAGAAUACAACGCUCGGGGUCUCUCGCCACACUUAUAGAAACCAAUCAUCUGUUUGAGAAAGUAAAGCCCGCUG
This 273-nucleotide unclassified non-coding RNA is filed under the name Hevea brasiliensis (rubber tree). The record is from RNAcentral. Lineage: Eukaryota; Viridiplantae; Streptophyta; Magnoliopsida; Malpighiales; Euphorbiaceae.